Molecule: ribosomal RNA, 732 nt
Filed under: Bythotrephes longimanus
Lineage: Eukaryota; Metazoa; Arthropoda; Branchiopoda; Diplostraca; Cercopagididae
Description: SSU rRNA
Rfam family: Eukaryotic small subunit ribosomal RNA
Source: RNAcentral
GCAUGUCUAAGUACAAGCCGCUAGUCGGCGAAACCGCGAAUGGCUCAAUAAAUCAGUUAUGGUUCCUUAGAUCUUUCCAUCCUACUUGGAUAACUGUGGUAAUUCUAGAGCUAAUACAUGCACUACAAGCCCCGACUCGCCGGCGUCAAAACCGGCCGUAGAAGGGGUGCUUUUAUUAGAUCAAAACCAAUCGGGCCCUUCGCGGGGCCCGUUCCAUUUGGUGACUCUGAAUAACUUUCGCUGAUCGCACGGCCUUCGCGCCGGCGACGCAUCUUUCAAAUGUCUGCCUUAUCAACUUUCGAUGGUAGGUUAUGCGCCUACCAUGGUUGCAACGGGUAACGGGGAAUCGGGGUUCGAUUCCGGAGAGGGAGCCUGAGAAACGGCUACCACAUCCAAGGAAGGCAGCAGGCGCGCAAAUUACCCACUCCCGGCACGGGGAGGUAGUGACGAAAAAUAACGAUACGGGACUCUUCCGAGGCCCCGUGAUUGGAAUGAGUACACUUUAAAUCCUUUAACGAGGACCUAUUGGAGGGCAAGUCUGGUGCCAGCAGCCGCGGUAACUCCAGCUCCAAUAGCGUAUAUUAAAGUUGUUGCGGUUAAAAAGCUCGUAGUUGGAUUCCUGUCUUCGGCCGGGCGGUGCCGCCUGAUAAUCAAGGGCGAUCGCACUGCCUUGGGAGCGUUGGUGUCAAAGCCGCGCUUUUUUUUAACGGUCGGACAAUACCACCGGAGCGG